CUAGCGUUGUCCGGAAUCAUUGGGCGUAAAGAGCGUGUAGGCGGUCCGGUAAGUCCGCUGUGAAAGUCGGGGGCUCAACCCUCGAAUGCCGGUGGAUACUGUCGGGCUAGAGUGCGGAAGAGGCGAGUGGAAUUCCUGGUGUAGCGGUGAAAUGCGCAGAUAUCAGGAGGAACACCUAUUGCGAAGGCAGCUCGCUGGGACGUAACUGACGCUGAGACGCGAAAGCGUGGGGAGCAAACAGG
This 242-nucleotide ribosomal RNA is filed under the name uncultured bacterium. RNAcentral describes it as "partial 16S ribosomal RNA". It matches the Rfam family "Bacterial small subunit ribosomal RNA", at positions 535 to 776 of the family's 1533-position model. The record is from RNAcentral.